GGUGGUGGGGUUAAUGAGGGUAGAAAAGAUCAUGGUUUUGGAUGGUUGGGGGGGGGUAUCUGAGAUGGUGGUGAACAGCUGUCUUGAAGACUUGGAGGGAAGAAUGAGAUUGAAGAGUAUGUGGAAGUUGGUUCCAGACGUGGGAGAACAGAGGAACAAACAAGUGGAGAUAUCACAUCCACAUACCCCACUAUGUCGAAUGUGCCCCAGCCGACACGCUCAUUCUCAGCGUGGCUGUCACAGCGGGGAAUGGCUCCACGAUUUGGUUGUGCAGUCGCACGCUAUCUGGGCAUCCGAGACCUUGCUGAUUUGCGUGCCUGUGCCGAGGAACCAACCAUUCGUGCAGAAUUUUUGGAUGCCGCACGACAGCGUCUCCCAUUCGCUUCAUAUGCCGCGCUCAGACGCCUCGUAAAGACUAUGGCUGUGCCAAUGCUGCACUCACCCAUUGAGACGUCACUUGGUCCGGGUGAGGUACGGCCAUUGGCUCCUGCACUGCUCGAAGCCAUCGUGGUGACCCUCAGCACGCUGAGCCAGGAGCUGUUGCAAGCGGCACACAGGUUUGCAGCAUUGGACCCAGGAUUGGAUUUAGGGGUGGAUAUGGGUUUUACAGAUGUUCAGGACACGGACAUUAAUCCCGCCUGUUCGACUGCUAUUCACGAUGAUGUGGAGGAGGAAGAGGAAAUGCUUGAGGAGUCAUCCCAGGGCCAUUACGCACCUGGUGUGUGUUGUGCAGAUCCCAUUGCAUCUGCAAAUAACAAAGAUCAUGGUGAGCAGACAUGGUCUGCAGACAGAGAGGGUUCCUGGGAGACAGUACAAGUGAAGAGAGAAGUCAACGGGGAAGCUGAUCCCCAGCCUGUGCCAAAGGAGGUGGCAGAUGAGGAUGCUAAUACCGGUGGUGGUGGUGGUGGUGAUUGUAUUGGAAGUGGUGCUACCCUGGAGUGGAAGGUGGAUGUGGACUCGGGGGG
This 965-nucleotide long non-coding RNA is filed under the name Eptatretus burgeri (inshore hagfish). RNAcentral's name for it is "lncRNA (ENSEBUG00000017207.1)". Lineage: Eukaryota; Metazoa; Chordata; Myxini; Myxiniformes; Myxinidae. The record is from RNAcentral.